GUGAAUUACAACUCCUUUGGGGAAAAAAAACCAAUCACUGAGAUUAAAAUUUUGUUAUGUGUGCCACUAACUGCGGGUGGAAGGUAAAGAUUAGGGUGUUAAGAAAACUGACAAUACAAUCUGCAUCUUAAAUCAAUUUACUUUUGGAUUCUUUUGGAUCAAUUCAACAACUGUUUUAUUAUCACUUAUUCUCUCUGUACUGUCUAAUAUGUAAAAAAAAAGACAAUAUUUAUUUGUGGCUUGAGGUAAUUAAAAACAAAAUGAACAUAUGUUUGUAACGAUGAAUAUUAGAGAAAAGGAAUGGCUUUGUAAAUAGCAUUAUACUAAUAUAGUAUUAAUACUAAAAACUUUAUUUAUGGAGCACUUAUCAAAACAAAGUAAAAAGUGCUUCACAAAGAGAAAUAAAAUACCACAGUGAAUUACAAAAUAUAUUUAUAUAUAUUUUUAAAACAAUAAAAUAAACAGACAGCUGUCAUAGUUAGCCACAUCUCUCUCCUGACCCUUGUGUGCUCUAGUGUGCUCCCCUUUUCCCUGUGUUCCUUGUCUGUCCUCUGUUCGUCGCCGUGUGUGUGUUUACUGGUCUGGCUCCCUGGUCCUUCCUCCUGCUGCUGAUCACUGGCACACCUGACGUCCAUCAUCCAAUGAGUCUCCACAGUAUAUCUACCAGGCUCUACCACACUACCAGCACCAGAUCGUCUCUGUACACUUAGCUUAUUCCCUGCCGGUGAUCACAGCCCCUCCGAUCUCUGCAAGGCUGCCUGCCUGUUCUGUCUGCCACGCUACACGAGUCACCUGCCUCUCCUGUCCCACUUGUUUCACCAGGCGAGUCAGCUUUCCCUCCUGUCCGACCUGCCUCACCACACGGAUCAGCUGCCUUGCCGGUUCUGCUAAUCACGCUACACAAGCCAAGCCAGAACCUACACUCCCCGUCUCUGUCCCCGGAGCCUCGCUGGCUACAAUGGACUACACCAGAGUCGCCGCUCUGGAAGAGCUCAGAUCCACCAGUGAUUGCUUGCAGUAUAUAAUAAAGACUGUUGCUACCACAA
This is a long non-coding RNA of Siniperca chuatsi (mandarin fish), 1046 nucleotides long. RefSeq lists it as uncharacterized. The record is from RefSeq and is a predicted model, not a curated record. The transcript is spliced from 2 exons. Lineage: Eukaryota; Metazoa; Chordata; Actinopteri; Centrarchiformes; Sinipercidae.